RNAcentral lists this ribosomal RNA (460 nucleotides) under uncultured bacterium. RNAcentral's name for it is "partial 16S ribosomal RNA". It matches the Rfam family "Bacterial small subunit ribosomal RNA", at positions 338 to 795 of the family's 1533-position model. The record is from RNAcentral.
CCUACGAGUGGCAGCAGUGAGGAAUAUUGGUCAAUGGGCGUAAGCCUGAACCAGCCAAGUCGCGUGAGGGAUGAAGGUUCUAUGGAUCGUAAACCUCUUUUAUAAGGGAAUAAAGUGUGGGACGUGUCCUGUUUUGUAUGUACCUUAUGAAUAAGGAUCGGCUAACUCCGUGCCAGCAGCCGCGGUAAUACGGAGGAUCCGAGCUUUAUCCGGAUUUAUUGGGUUUAAAGGGUGCGUAGGCGGCGUUUUAAGUCAGCGGUGAAAGUCUGUGGCUCAACCAUAGAAGUGCCGUUGAAACUGGGAGGCUUGAGUAUGUUUGAGGCAGGCGGAAUGCGUGGUGUAGCGGUGAAAUGCUUAGAUAUCACGCAGAACCCCGAUUGCGAAGGCAGCCUGCCAAGCCAUGACUGACGCUGAUGCACGAAAGCGUGGGGAUCAAACAGGAUUAGAUACCCCGGUAGUC